GACGAACGCUGGCGGCGUGCUUAACACAUGCAAGUCGAACGAUGAAGCCCUUCGGGUGGAUUAGUGGCGAACGGGUGAGUAACACGUGGGCAAUCUGCCCUUCACUCUGGGACAAGCCCUGGAAACGGGGUCGUAAUACCGGAUAUGACACACGGCCGCAUGGUCUGUGUGUGGAAAGCUCCGGCGGUGAAGGAUGAGCCCGCGGCCUAUCAGCUUGUUGGUGGGG
Molecule: ribosomal RNA, 226 nt
Filed under: uncultured bacterium
Lineage: Bacteria
Description: partial 16S ribosomal RNA
Rfam family: Bacterial small subunit ribosomal RNA
Source: RNAcentral